This 585-nucleotide ribosomal RNA is filed under the name uncultured bacterium. RNAcentral describes it as "partial 16S ribosomal RNA". It matches the Rfam family "Bacterial small subunit ribosomal RNA", at positions 355 to 932 of the family's 1533-position model. The record is from RNAcentral.
UGGGGAAUCUUCCGCAAUGGACGAAAGUCUGACGGAGCAACGCCGCGUGUAUGAUGAAGGUCUUCGGAUUGUAAAGUACUGUCAUUGGGGAAGAACGGUUUUCUUGAAAAGAUUGAGAAGACAUGACGGUACCCAAGGAGGAAGCCCCGGCUAACUACGUGCCAGCAGCCGCGGUAAUACGUAGGGGGCAAGCGUUGUCCGGAAUUAUUGGGCGUAAAGGGCGCGUAGGCGGGCCUUUAAGUCCGGUGUGAAAGAUCAGGGCUCAACCCUGAGAGUGCAUCGGAAACUGGAGGCCUUGAGGACAGGAGAGGAAAGUGGAAUUCCACGUGUAGCGGUGAAAUGCGUAGAUAUGUGGAGGAACACCAGUGGCGAAGGCGACUUUCUGGACUGUAACUGACGCUGAGGCGCGAAAGCGUGGGGAGCAAACAGGAUUAGAUACCCUGGUAGUCCACGCCGUAAACGAUGAGUGCUAGGUGUAGAGGGUAUCGACCCCCUUCUGUGCCGCAGUUAACACAAUAAGNACUCCCGCCUGGGGAGUACGGCCGCAAGGUUUGAAACUCAAAUGAAUUGACGGGGUCAUAGCUG